CGCGGACGGCCCCGCGGCGCAGGCGCGAAAGCUCCUUCCCGGGCUUCCUCUCCUUAGCAACGGUUACCAAGAGACGCUCCCGCGGGUCCGCCCUAGGCGCUGGGCUCCAGGGAUCGGCUCCGACUGCUGCAGUUCGGGCCUUAUUUUAGGGUGAAGCCCGGGCAGCCGACCCGGCUGCGCCGUAGUGGGAGGCCACGGCGAUUACCCAGGUGAAGGUCUUCCAGUACCUCGCAAGGGUUUUUUGCAUGUCUGAUACCUACGGCUCCAACAGGACCCACUGACUGAUGAUGGCUCCACCUGGACCUGCCAACUACUCCUGCAGCCCCACCCAGAAGCGGUUCAGCACACGGGAGGAUCCUGUCUCACACCCUACGAUGGCCCCCCGCCCCCACAACCCAUCAGCAGCAAGCACCCACUGCCAAGCUACCCCACCCCUUCCCCCAAACUACCUUUGGAACACCCUAGUCCCCAAAUUCUUGGGGAGACUGAUUUCAGUAAUCAUCAAAUUCUGGUCUCCCAUUCACUUGUCUCUGUGUGAAUUAAACCCUUUCUCUAUUGCAGUUUCCCUACCUUGAUACAUGGGCUCCAUCUGGGCAAGAAGAAUCCAC
RNAcentral lists this long non-coding RNA (608 nucleotides) under Homo sapiens (human). Its description in RNAcentral is "HSALNT0387845". Lineage: Eukaryota; Metazoa; Chordata; Mammalia; Primates; Hominidae. The record is from RNAcentral.